UACGAAGGGGGCUAGCGUUGCUCGGAAUCACUGGGCGUAAAGCGCACGUAGGCGGAUUUGCAAGUCAGGGGUGAAAUCCCGGGGCUCAACCUCGGAACUGCCUUUGAUACUGCAAAUCUCGAGUCCGGAAGAGGUGAGUGGAAUUCCUAGUGUAGAGGUGAAAUUCGUAGAUAUUAGGAAGAACACCAGUGGCGAAGGCGGCUCACUGGUCCGGUACUGACGCUGAGGUGCGAAAGCGUGGGGAGCAAACAGG
RNAcentral lists this ribosomal RNA (253 nucleotides) under uncultured bacterium. RNAcentral describes it as "partial 16S ribosomal RNA". It matches the Rfam family "Bacterial small subunit ribosomal RNA", at positions 524 to 776 of the family's 1533-position model. The record is from RNAcentral.